GUUGGCGGCGUGGAUUAGGCAUGCAAGUCGAACGAGAAAACACCCUUCGGGGUGUGAGUAAAGUGGCGAACGGGUGAGUAACGCGUGGGGAACCUGCCCUUGAGUGGGGGAUAACGCUCCUAACGGAGCGCUAAUACCGCAUAACACCGGAGCCUGGCAUCGGGCCCCGGUCGAAGAUGGCCUCUGUUUCAAGCUGUCGCUUAAGGAUGGCCCCGCGUCCGAUUAGCUUGUUGGUGGGGUAAAGGCCUACCAAGGCGACGAUCGGUAGCCGGCCUGAGAGGGUGUCCGGCCACACUGGGACUGAGAUACGGCCCAGACUCCUACGGGAGGCAGCAGUCGAGAGGCUUCCACAAUGGGGGAAACCCUGAUGGAGCGACGCCGCGUGGGUGAGGAAGGUCUUCGGAUCGUAAAACCCUGUCAGUAGGGACGAAAACCGGAUUGGCUAAUACCCUUUCCGCUUGACGGUACCUGCAGAGGAAGCUCCGGCUAACUCCGUGCCAGCAGCCGCGGUAACACGGAGGGAGCAAACGUUGUUCGGAAUCACUGGGCGUAAAGGGCGCGUAGGCGGCUUCAUCAGUCGGGGGUGAAAUCCUGUGGCUCAACCAUAGGCCUGCCCUCGAAACUAUGAAGCUUGAGGCCGUGAGAGGAAAGCGGAAUUC
This 659-nucleotide ribosomal RNA is filed under the name uncultured bacterium. Its description in RNAcentral is "bacterial SSU rRNA". It matches the Rfam family "Bacterial small subunit ribosomal RNA", at positions 35 to 669 of the family's 1533-position model. The record is from RNAcentral.